Long non-coding RNA from Corticium candelabrum, 647 nucleotides. RefSeq lists it as uncharacterized. Lineage: Eukaryota; Metazoa; Porifera; Homoscleromorpha; Homosclerophorida; Plakinidae. The transcript has 6 exons. The record is from RefSeq and is a predicted model, not a curated record.
CACAGAUAGCUUGCUAACAUUGUGCUGCAUAACGUCACUUGUGUGGUUGUAGGCCAAACUCAUUGAAUUUGAGCCAAAACUAAGUGCAUCUACCGUUCAAAUUCCUCAUGGUGUAGACUUUGUUGUUGCCAACUCAUUGGUUGUUGCCAACAAAACUGGUGCUGAAUCUCAGUAUAACACACGAGUUGUGGAGUGCAGACUGGCAGCUCAAGUGAUUGCCCAUGUUCGUCACAUUACACCGAAAAACAAUCGAAGGUUGUGUGACAUUCAGCAAGCUCUAAAUCUUUCAAGACAGGAGAUGUUAUCUGUUGUUGAAGAAAUUCUUCACUGUGAACCAUAUACCAGAGAGGAGCUUGCAAGCAUUCUAGAAGUGACUGUUAGUUUUUUGGAUGCAGAGUUAGUUGAGCUAAGUCUAAAGAGCAAGAAUGACUCAACACUGCUUUUGACAAAAUUUCAACUUCAUGACCGAGCUAUUCAUGUAUUUUCUGAAGCAGAAAGAGUUCAUUCAUUCAAGCGUUUGUGUGAUGAGGGAGCACCUGAUGCUGCUGUGCGUCUUGGUGAAAUGAUGAAUGAAAGUCAUAGCAGUUGCAGUGUACUGUAUGAGUGCAGUUGUCGAGAACUUGAUGAAUUGACAAAGAUAUGCAGGU